GACGUAGGAGGCGAGCGUUAUCCGGAUUCACUGGGCGUAAAGCGCAUGUAGGCGGUUGCACAAGUCCGUUGUUAAAGCCCCUGGCUCAACUGGGGGAGGUCAAUGGAGACUGUGCGACUUGAGGGCAAUAGAGGCACGUGGAACUCCCGGUGUAGCGGUGGAAUGCGUAGAGAUCGGGAAGAACACCAGUGGCGAAGGCGACGUGCUGGGUUGCACCUGACGCUGAGAUGCGAAAGUGUGGGGAGCAAACAGG
RNAcentral lists this ribosomal RNA (253 nucleotides) under uncultured bacterium. RNAcentral's name for it is "partial 16S ribosomal RNA". It matches the Rfam family "Bacterial small subunit ribosomal RNA", at positions 524 to 776 of the family's 1533-position model. The record is from RNAcentral.